UGGCAAUGAGGAAGCUACAUUCUUUAUUGAGUUUUAGUGAUUUGUUUAUACGCUAUUCUGAGCUAACU
Bombina bombina (fire-bellied toad) is the source of this 68-nucleotide small nucleolar RNA. RefSeq annotates it as small nucleolar RNA U54. Lineage: Eukaryota; Metazoa; Chordata; Amphibia; Anura; Bombinatoridae. The transcript has a single exon. The record is from RefSeq and is a predicted model, not a curated record.